RNAcentral lists this long non-coding RNA (1279 nucleotides) under Brassica napus (rape). Its description in RNAcentral is "long non-coding RNA (BNAP_LNC022961)". The record is from RNAcentral. Lineage: Eukaryota; Viridiplantae; Streptophyta; Magnoliopsida; Brassicales; Brassicaceae.
UGAGAUCAAACCCAAGUCUGAGAUCAAACCCAAGUCGGAGUCAGGCAAGCACGGGAAGCAAGAGGAAGGAACAUCUGAUGCACCAAAAAAAGAAGAAACGGUUGAUAAAGAGUUGUUGCAGGUAGAAAAUCUGCUUUGACUAUUAUAAUGUCCUUAAGCUUUUACCCUUUUUGUUGGUGCUAAAGCUUCUUCUGACUCAGGCUUUCAGAUUCUUUGAUCGUAACCAAACAGGCUAUGUUAGGGUAAGAAGAAGCUUAAUCCAUCUUCCUUAUCUCUCAGAAUGAAUUUACAAUACCGUUUACAUUUUUUGUUCUUUCACAGGUUGAUGAUAUGAGAACAACUAUGCACAGCUUGGGAAAGUUUCUAUCUCACCGAGAAGUCAAGGUAAAAGAGAUUUCUCCAUACUUGAGUUUGUCAAUCAUUUUAACAAAGAUAUAGAGAAAUGAAUUAUUUCAAGGUUGGUUUGUAACUGAUUUAUGAUGUUUUGUUUUUUGAGCUUACAUAACUGUUUUCUUACACUUCUUUUUUUUUUUUCCUUGGUAGAAAUUACGUGUAAAAUUUGUGAGAGAGAGAAACCAACGAAAGAGGCGUCAAGAAGAGUUAUCUGCCAAGGAAAAGGAAGCAAAAGCACAAAAUAAGCGUCAAAAGACUGACAAGGAAGCCACUGUUACAACUGAAUCUGUUCCUGAGAAGGAUGACAAGAAAAAUUCAGCAAAGGAAACGGUAGCUAACACUGAAGACACUAAAAAAGCCACCGGUGAUGAAGCUGCUACGAUGGAAGCGGAUAACCAGGAUGAGGAGGAUGAAGAGAUUGAUGAAGAUCCAGAGGAAGACCCUGAAGAGGAUCCUGAAGAAGACCCUGAGGAAUGCGAGGAAAUGGACGAUGAAAAUCCUGAGCAAGAAGAAACUGCUGAAGAGGUAUGAUUUAUACAUUAUUUGCCUUGCCGUUUCCAACUUGUUCACUCCUAAUAUCGUAAGUUUUAUUUUAGCCAACAAGAUGUUAUGUUCAUCAAUCUUGUCCAUUUGUUCUGUGUCUCUUCUUCAGCCGCAGAAGAAUGAAGAAAACAGUGAGAAGACUAGCAGCGCUGUUGCUCGUCCUAUAACUGAAGUCGCAACUGAUAGAAAAGAAGAGAUCGUGGAGAAGACUGAUUCCAAAUCUGCUGAGAUCAAACCCAAGUCUGAGAUCAAACCCAAGUCGGAGUCAGGCAAGCACGGGAAGCAAGAGGAAGGAACAUCUGAUGCACCAAAAAAAGAAGAAACGGUUGAUAAAGAGUUGUUG